CUUAAAUUUAGGCUUUAUGCCCCCAAACCGUGAGUUGUGAACGUAGGGAAGGGAGCGAGGCGGGGGGAGAAACGAGGCAAAAAGCCCAGGAUGGCUCCGUUUGCGAUGGUGGAAAGGAUGGCGCACCGGACUCCCUGAAUUCACCAAAACCUCCCCAGUUCACGAGGGGCGCGGUGGCGCGUUUUGGGGGGAAUUCCGGCAUUUUUGGAGGUUGGGACGCGCGGGAGGAGCUGGGCGCGCUGGGACCCCGCUUCUGUCCGAAAUUGCCCCAAAAACACCCCCCUCCCCCCCCCCAGUUCCGACGCGAGGGAUGCGAAAAGGGGCCGAUUGUGGACAAUGUAGCAAAAAGGAGUGCUUUCACCCCAAAUGGGGGCUGACGCAGGGGGUCUGUCUCGCAGG
Molecule: unclassified non-coding RNA, 399 nt
Filed under: Hevea brasiliensis (rubber tree)
Lineage: Eukaryota; Viridiplantae; Streptophyta; Magnoliopsida; Malpighiales; Euphorbiaceae
Source: RNAcentral